Cyprinus carpio (common carp) is the source of this 1018-nucleotide long non-coding RNA. RefSeq lists it as uncharacterized. NCBI's taxonomy places the organism in Eukaryota, Metazoa, Chordata, Actinopteri, Cypriniformes, Cyprinidae. The transcript has 2 exons. The record is from RefSeq and is a predicted model, not a curated record.
AACAUGCAUUUGGUGUAGUUAUGGCAUCAACCAGCAGAUGUUAAUCAGAUGACCCGCUGGUAAUGUGUUGACUCCAGCAAUGCAUUCACAGCUAUUUUUGGGUGUUCAGUGCAGGACGAACACACAGGGUCCCAACCCGGAUGCUUGAGUACACCAGUCGUGACACAGCUAGGCCUGAAUGAAGCACAGGGCUUGUUUAUGCAUGUGUUUGUUGGAGUCUGGUCUGCUAUGGUCUUCUGAAUCAUCUCUGAACUCCAGAGAUCAUCCGUGACUCAGUCAAAGUACACAUCAGACUCGCUCCCACAGCACGGACAAAAAGAGUGACAGCGAUUCUGUUGCCAACUUCCCAGAUCUCAAGUGGAAAGGUCCAGAUUUAGGAGCUGAACACACACUGAGUCGGGCUAAUUUGGGCUCCUCUUUAUUUGAGCACAAGCAGUCAGAAGUGCUGAGAGCGAGUGAACGGCCGGACCGCACAGACUUCUCCUUUGAUCCAGCAUGGCAGAUGUGAAGAACUGACAUCGCAUUACCGGACACAAGAGCCGUCUGCCAUCGUGUAUAAAGGCCUCAGUCAUCAGAUGCUACAGGAUGCUUCCUACCAGCAGCUAAACAUCAGUCAGCGAUAGAGAGGCCUGAUGUUAGCCCUAGCAUCAUCUCUCCACCGCUGCUGACAAAUACACAAAAUCAGUCUCUGAACAACGCAUGCCAUCCAAAGUAGAAUCCGCUGCUGUCUGCAAUAUCCUGAUAAGAGAUUUGAUAGCAUAAAUAUUUAUAAAGAGUCAAAGGAAAUGAAAACGAAUUCGCAUUCAGCUUUGUUAUCAUAUGACGUGCUGUUCUAAAACUGCAUCGUGUGAAUACAUUUCAUUCCCUGCACUAGAGAAACUGUAGAUUGACAUUUUUUAUAAUUGGAUGGUUAACAUGAAAUAUGAAAACAGUUCAUAAAAAGCUGUCAUGUUCUAUGAUGUGACAUGCUAUACUCUAAUCUUGAACAUUUCUUCCAUAUACUAAAUAAUAAUAAUAA